AGGAUGCAAGCGUUAUCCGGAAUUAUUGGGCGUAAAGCGUCCGCAGGUGGCUGUUCAAGUCUGCUGUCAAAGCGCAGAGCUUAACUCUGUACAGGCGGUGGAAACUGAAGAGCUAGAGUAUGGUAGGGGUAGAGGGAAUUCCCGGUGUAGCGGUGAAAUGCGUAGAUAUCGGGAAGAACACCAGUGGCGAAAGCGCUCUACUGGGCCAUAACUGACACUGAGGGACGAAAGCUAGGGGAGCGAAAGGG
Molecule: ribosomal RNA, 248 nt
Filed under: uncultured bacterium
Lineage: Bacteria
Description: partial 16S ribosomal RNA
Rfam family: Bacterial small subunit ribosomal RNA
Source: RNAcentral